AUACGGAGGAUGCGAGCGUUAUCCGGAUUUAUUGGGUUUAAAGGGAGCGUAGGCGGGAGCUUAAGUCAGCGGUUAAAUGGUGCGGCUCAACCGUGCCCUGCCGUUGAAACCGCGUUUCUUGAGAGCGCAAGAGGCGGUUGGAAUUCAUGGGGUAGCGGGGAAAUGCUUAGAUAUCAUGAAGAACUCCGAUUGCGAAGGCAGUCCGCUGGGGCACGUCUGACGCUGAUGCUCGAAGGUGCGGGAAUCAAACAGGAUUAGAUACCCUGGUAGUCCGCACAGUAAACGAUGGACACCCGCGGUUUGGCCUGUAUGGCUGAGCCGCCAAGCGAAAGCGUUAAGUGUCCCACCUGGGGAGUACGCCGGCAACGGUGAAACUCAAAUGAAUUGACGG
Molecule: ribosomal RNA, 391 nt
Filed under: uncultured bacterium
Lineage: Bacteria
Description: partial 16S ribosomal RNA
Rfam family: Bacterial small subunit ribosomal RNA
Source: RNAcentral